AAAGCGUACGAACUAAGUGAUAAGGAAUUCAGAUUAAAGCGAGCGGGGUUCCGCACGUGGUUUGCAGGGGUUGCCUUGGCGACACUGUUCCUCUCACUCUGUUCAAAAGCCGAUUGCUGAACGUGUUAAAACGCCAUCACAAUAUGUGCCCGUACGGCACCGAGAAAGGCAUAGGGUGACGUCGGUGGAGAUGUAUAGUCUUAGGGUGAGGCUGGUAUGACCGGUAACGGCUC
RNAcentral lists this unclassified non-coding RNA (233 nucleotides) under synthetic construct. The record is from RNAcentral.